UUGCAGCCGAUUAAGCCAACUGAGUUCUUUUCCGCGUGGAGGCCUGGUGUGCGAUGGCUGCAAACAGCAGUCUCCCCCGCGGUGCGUGCAGCCUGCUGCCUGUAGGCAUUGCCUUAAGGAACCCUGGAGACAGCC
Bos grunniens (domestic yak) is the source of this 135-nucleotide small nucleolar RNA. Its record names the gene SNORA70. It matches the Rfam family "Small nucleolar RNA SNORA70". Rfam says of the family: snoRNA U70 seems to be exclusive to mammals and is a member of the H/ACA class of snoRNA which contain H (ANANNA) and ACA box motifs. The record is from Ensembl. Lineage: Eukaryota; Metazoa; Chordata; Mammalia; Artiodactyla; Bovidae.